This 66-nucleotide transfer RNA is filed under the name Charonia lampas. RNAcentral describes it as "tRNA-Trp". The record is from RNAcentral. Lineage: Eukaryota; Metazoa; Mollusca; Gastropoda; Littorinimorpha; Ranellidae.
AAGGUUUUAAGUUAAACAAACUAUAAGCCUUCAAAGCUUAAAAUAAAAAAAGAUUUUUAAACCUUG